Molecule: ribosomal RNA, 318 nt
Filed under: Triticum aestivum (bread wheat)
Lineage: Eukaryota; Viridiplantae; Streptophyta; Magnoliopsida; Poales; Poaceae
Description: partial small subunit ribosomal RNA
Source: RNAcentral
AUGAAGGAGAGUGGUGGCAAUGAAGAUGAGCAUGUGGGAACGCAGCGUCAUCGGCGUCCAUGUUGCGACCGGCCUCAACAUCAAGAAGGCGUCACACUAAGCUGUCUAUACAUCAUCCCCACCACCCCAGCUGCGUCAUUGCUACAUUUGGACUCCAUGGGAUUUGAUGAGCUUGUUGCUCUUCUGAAAGUCCAUAUUGUGAUGCCAAACAUGAGUGGCGGGCGGGAGUGCCAAGGGUGGCGGGAGACCUGGCAUCUACCUAGAUUGGUUAUAUAUACUUUGGCAAUGUUACCUGUGGAAAUAGGAAUGAUUUUCUGA